CCCCUUUUCAUUUGGCGGGCGAUCCCUAUAUGGGGACGUGCCGGCUUGCCGGCUAUGGUGAUAAACUGCGGCGUGCAAUAGGCGCAGCGGACCCGGGGGCGGUACCCGGCGGCUCCACCACCUUUCCCGUUCGUUCUUUUGGGGCGAUCGGGGCAGAUGACGGGGCCGAACUAGGAUCGACGUGUGUUGAAAAGCGCUGUUUUCGCCCGGGCUGAGUAACCCGUUCAAGGCUCAAAACCAACAAGUGCCAACGACAACGAAGCACUUGCUCUCGCGGCGUAAUUCUAGGGGCUAACGCCCUGAAGUUACAAAGCCAGAACGCGGUUGGACCCACCGGUCAACAGAAGCGGAUUCCAGCGGCUUGGGGGGUGCCGGGCAACAGAAACCCCCUACC
This 394-nucleotide transfer-messenger RNA is filed under the name Novosphingobium sp. SCN 66-18. It matches the Rfam family "Alphaproteobacteria transfer-messenger RNA". Rfam says of the family: Bacterial tmRNA, also known as 10Sa RNA or SsrA, is named for its dual tRNA and mRNA-like properties. Its role is to liberate the mRNA from a stalled ribosome. The record is from RNAcentral. Lineage: Bacteria; Pseudomonadati; Pseudomonadota; Alphaproteobacteria; Sphingomonadales; Sphingomonadaceae.